RNAcentral lists this ribosomal RNA (500 nucleotides) under uncultured bacterium. RNAcentral describes it as "partial 16S ribosomal RNA". It matches the Rfam family "Bacterial small subunit ribosomal RNA", at positions 30 to 523 of the family's 1533-position model. The record is from RNAcentral.
AUUGAACGCUGGCGGCAUGCCUUACACAUGCAAGUCGAACGGCAGCGCGGACUUCGGUCUGGCGGCGAGUGGCGAACGGGUGAGUAAUACAUCGGAACGUACCCUGUUGUGGGGGAUAACUAGUCGAAAGAUUAGCUAAUACCGCAUACGACCUGAGGGUGAAAGUGGGGGACCGCAAGGCCUCACGCAGCAGGAGCGGCCGAUGUCUGAUUAGCUAGUUGGUGGGGUAAAGGCCCACCAAGGCGACGAUCAGUAGCUGGUCUGGGAGGACGAUCAGCCACACUGGGACUGAGACACGGCCCAGACUCCUACUGGAGGCAGCAGUGGGGAAUUUUGGACAAUGGGGGCAACCCUGAUCCAGCAAUGCCGCGUGUGUGAAGAAGGCCUUCGGGUUGUAAAGCACUUUUGUCCGGAAAGAAAUCGCGCUGGUUAAUACCUGGCGUGGAUGACGGUACCGGAAGAAUAAGCACCGGCUAACUACGUGCCAGCCGCCGCGGUAA